RNAcentral lists this ribosomal RNA (497 nucleotides) under uncultured bacterium. RNAcentral's name for it is "partial 16S ribosomal RNA". It matches the Rfam family "Bacterial small subunit ribosomal RNA", at positions 28 to 507 of the family's 1533-position model. The record is from RNAcentral.
GAUGAACGCUGGCGGCGUGCCUAAUACAUGCCAGUCGAGCGAACAGACGAGGAGCUUGCUCCUCUGGCGUUAGCGGCGGACGGGUGAGUAACACGUGGAUAACCUACCUAUAAGACUGGGAUAACUUCGGGAAACCGGAGCUAAUACCGGAUAACAUGUUGAACCGCAUGGUUCAACAGUGAAAGACGGUCUUGCUGUCACUUAUAGAUGGAUCCGCGCCGCAUUAGCUAGUUGGUAAGGUAACGGCUUACCAAGGCAACGAUGCGUAGCCGACCUGAGAGGGUGAUCGGCCACACUGGAACUGAGACACGGUCCAGACUCCUACGGGAGGCAGCAGUAGGGAAUCUUCCGCAAUGGGCGAAAGCCUGACGGAGCAACGCCGCGUGAGUGAAGAAGGUCUUCGGAUCGUAAAACUCUGUUAUUAGGGAAGAACAAAUGUGUAAGUAACUAUGCACGUCUUAACGGUACCUAAUCAGAAAGCCACGGCUAACUACGUG